RNAcentral lists this non-coding RNA (22 nucleotides) under Arabidopsis thaliana (thale cress). Lineage: Eukaryota; Viridiplantae; Streptophyta; Magnoliopsida; Brassicales; Brassicaceae. The record is from RNAcentral.
GAGUUGGUUGCGACGGUUUGUU